Molecule: transfer RNA, 61 nt
Filed under: Scolytinae sp. BMNH 1274712
Lineage: Eukaryota; Metazoa; Arthropoda; Insecta; Coleoptera; Curculionidae
Description: tRNA-Phe
Source: RNAcentral
AUUUAGGUAGUUUAUUAGAAUUUGAUAUUGAAGAUAUCACGGAGAUUUAUAUCCUUAAAUA